GUGUGUGUGUGUGUGUGUGUGUGUAAGCCCUAGUUAAACCAAGUGAGAGUCAUUUCUUGCGUCAGCACAGAGCUAAAAUAUGCACACACUCCCAUGAGGAGAGAGCUGCUUUCACAAGAAAAACUCUGUGCACCUCCUCAGAACGACUCCAAGUGUUUGACAGCAGUGCGCUUAACCACCACCACAACACACACACACACACACACACACACACACACACACACACACACACAUGCUAAAACAACAAAAAACAACCCUGAGUAUCAGUCUGACAACAUAUAAUCAUCCACUGAAAUUCUGGUUACGCUUGAGAGCAGGUUUAGCGGCGAGAGCAGGGAUGUUCCCGGACUGGGAUUGGAGCGUAGCCCGUUUGAGACGGAUUUCCAGGACAGUGAGGGAUAGGAGUUUUCCGAAGGGACACAUAAUGUGUCGGCCAGGAGAUUUGGGAUGUGGCCCAGGGAGAAAGCAGCAUUCCACAGGAGCUUGGAGUUUUGAAAUCGGGCUGCGUUCCAAUUCGUACUGUGGAGGGAGUCGGUGUGACGAAACACUUCUACACAUCUGAAAACAUGACCAGUGUGACUGACAGGAUUUUCUUUACACUGAUGCACCACUGCUGAAGGACUGAAUGUAAAAAGACCGGCACUAGGACCUGUGUGUGUGUGUGUGUGUGUGUGUGUGUGUGUGUGUGUCUCUGUGCCUGUGUAUGUAUGUAAUCAAUGUGUGUGUUUGUGUGUC
Molecule: long non-coding RNA, 735 nt
Organism: Tachysurus fulvidraco (yellow catfish)
Lineage: Eukaryota; Metazoa; Chordata; Actinopteri; Siluriformes; Bagridae
Exons: 3
Source: RefSeq, a predicted model, not a curated record